This 468-nucleotide ribosomal RNA is filed under the name uncultured bacterium. RNAcentral describes it as "partial 16S ribosomal RNA". It matches the Rfam family "Bacterial small subunit ribosomal RNA", at positions 28 to 507 of the family's 1533-position model. The record is from RNAcentral.
GACGAACGCUGGCGGCGUGCUUAACACAUGCAAGUCGAACGGAAAGGCCCUGCUUUUGUGGGGUGCUCGAGUGGCGAACGGGUGAGUAACACGUGAGUAACCUGCCCUUGACUUUGGGAUAACUUCAGGAAACUGGGGCUAAUACCGGAUAGGAGCUCCUGCUGCAUGGUGGGGGUUGGAAAGUUUCGGCGGUUGGGGAUGGACUCGCGGCUUAUCAGCUUGUUGGUGGGGUAGUGGCUUACCAAGGCUUUGACGGGUAGCCGGCCUGAGAGGGUGACCGGCCACAUUGGGACUGAGAUACGGCCCAGACUCAUACGGGAGGCAGCAGUGGGGAAUAUUGCACAAUGGGCGGAAGCCUGAUGCAGCAACGCCGCGUGGGGGAUGACGGCCUGCGGGUUGUAAACCGCUUUCGCCUGUGACGAAGCGUGAGUGACGGUAAUGGGUAAAGAAGCACCGGCUAACUACGUG